Molecule: ribosomal RNA, 508 nt
Filed under: uncultured bacterium
Lineage: Bacteria
Description: partial 16S ribosomal RNA
Rfam family: Bacterial small subunit ribosomal RNA
Source: RNAcentral
GACGAACGCUGGCGGCAUGCCUAAUACAUGCAAGUCGAACGCUUCUUUCCUCCCGAGUGCUUGCACUCAAUUGGAAAGAGGAGUGGCGGACGGGUGAGUAACAAGUGUGUAACCUACCCAUCAGAGGGGGAUAACACUUGGAAACAGGUGCUAAUACCGCAUAACAGUUUAUGCCGCAUGGCAUAAGAGUGAAAGGCGCUUUCGGGUGUCGCUGAGGGAUGGACCCGCGGUGCGUUAGCUAGUUGGUGAGGUAACGGCUCACCAAGGCCACGAUGCAUAGCCGACCGGAGAGGGUGAUCGGACACACUGGGACUGAGACACGGCCCAGACUCCUACGGGAGGCAGCAGUAGGGAAUCUUCGGCAAUGGACGAAAGUCUGACCGAGCAACGCCGCGUGAGUGAAGAAGGUUUUCGGAUCGUAAAACUCUGUUGUUAGAAAAGAACAAGGACGUUAGUAACUGAACGUCUCCUGACGGUAUCGAAAGAAUAAGCCACGGCUAACUACGUG